UUUUUCAUUUAUGGCCCAUGUCUGCUGCCCCAUGUGCUUUGGUUUUCCUGUUUUUCGAAGUCCCCCUGGUGCAAUUGUAUAAUUUUAUUUCUCCGUUUCAUAACCCAUUCCAUUCUUGAUUGAUUCGCCACUUAUGGAGCCAUUGCAUGGACGAAGUGAAGCCACUCUUCCCAUUGGUGAGAGAACAAAUAGUCUACUCAUUUUAUUUCUCUUUUGAUUUUCUUCAUCCGGAUGUUCUUUCCUUCGAACGUCGGAAAUAAAUAGAGGUGCUGAUCUGCAAAUUGCCAUGGUCAGAAAUCAGUCUCACAAACCCCACCACGCUAAUCAUGAUUACUUUUACUUCUUGCUGUCAUCAACAAGCGCGCUCCAUUUUCAGUUUCAAUUUCAGUCUCUCUUUCACAUUCUUCUUCACCGUCUCUAAUGGCUUUGAAUUUGAUUAUGCUUUUUGCUUUUGUAUAUAUAAGUUGAUGCCUUCGGGGUAUGAAUCUAAAGUUUUGGGUGGUUGAAGGAGGACCAGAGAAUGUGUAUGAAGCAGUGUAGCACUGAUGAUCUGUAUGAAGCAGUGAUUUCUUUUUGCUCUUCUUUGCAGACGUCCUUCAUCCUUGAGCACUGGAAACUUCUAUCAUCCUCAAUCACUAAGGCAAAGAUGGUAAAAUAGCUUUUGGGGGUUCUUUGAUUAUGAAGGCAAAUAAUUCAAUCUUGAGAAGUGUCCAAGGUCCACUCUUCAACCCCAAUGCAUUGAAUAUCUUGGAUGAGUAAGUUCUCACUCACACACGUACUAGAGACAUACAUUUCAAUAAGCUUCAGAUCCAUAUCCAAAAAUCUUAGCUAUAAAGAUUCACUUUUUCUAUGGCCUGAAUCUAUCUAAAUGCUACUAUUGUUGUAUCUCAUAAUUUUAAAAGAUGUGGUUUAGUAAUCUUCACUAUUUGUCUCUGUGGUAAUGAUUCUGCUUUUUUUUUUUUUUUUUGCUUCGUACCGCCUACCAUCUUUGGCUUAUCGUUCUGUUUUAUUUGUUUUUUUGUCCAUAUUAUUUGUUCAGGAGCAAUCAACUUGGGUGAACAAUUAAGUCAAUAUAUGGUUAACACAUUAACCAUUCUUUAAAAGAUCUAAAUUAUCUUUAUUAUUAAUUGAGUGAAUGUUUUAAGUGAUUCUUGUGGUUGUCCAAAAGCGACUCUGAAGCACCAUUAAUUAGUUUGUCAUUUGUCUUGUGACAACUCUUUAUAUAUGCAUGCAUGUACAUAGAAUAAGAAAUUAUUUUUAGUUUAAUGAUAGUUGAUCAGUUAUUUGUAUUAAUUAUUUAUAUUAGUGUUACUUGGAACUUUUAUCACUUUCUUCUCUACAGUAUUUGAAAGAUCAAAGGCUUCCUCCUUAGACAUUUAUUCCUUUGCAAUCAGUUUGUGUGAAGCCAGUUAUUGAAAGAUUGCGCACAUUAGGUGGCACAGCAAAGCUGGUUUUUGAUGUCAUCCAUUAUUCUUUUUUACCAAUUAUUGCUCUGCAGAUCCUGUUGCAUUUUUUUGUCUAUGUAAUGCUUUUUUCCUGCAUUUUUCUUGUCUUAGAAAGAUGGUAAAUCAAGUUAGUGUAAAUCUGAUCUCUCAUUACUGCUUCCUUUAUGUGCUCAUGUACAUUUAGUUUGAUUUUUGUCUUCUUCAAUUGAUGUUCUGACACUUGUUAUCUCAGACUUGGAAAUGCUUCACACUAUAGAAGCUUCAAGCUUUGUUCUUAUUGGUAAUAAUAAAAUGAUUAUUUCCUAAGUGAAAUUCAAUAUGUUAAUGUUGAUUUAUAUUCCAUGAUUAUUGGUAGCCAUUCGAAAUGCUAUCUAUGACAAUUUGGUUGAGAAAAAAGUAGCAAACUUGUCUUGUGUAUUCAAUAUUUCUGAAAUAGGCAGCGAACAGCUCAGAGGCGUGACUCGACACCAAUUUGGAAGCAGGGACUGAAAAAGCUAAUUUGUUCGUCAGAGGCUCUUCUAUGUCAGAUGGAACAAGUGUGAGUGCAAGGCUAAUCUUGAAAGGAGAUGGUCAAUGGGUGCUUGGAUUCAAUGUCCAAGAAGAAAAAAAUACCCCUUGUCAUUGCAGAAGUUAAUGCUACAAGAGUUGGGAUUAAUCUAUCCUGAGACAAAGGAAUGCAUGCUAUCAAAGUUCAAACACCAAAUGCAAGUUGCUACAAUCUUCUUGCCAGGGAUAAUGCAGACGAUCAUCCAUAUUCUGAUAUCAUUACCGAAACUGAGAACCUCCUGUUUAGUCAUUAUCAUAUUUGUCUCGGUUUUGCACACACUGAGCCAAUCCCUUGUUUUUUUGAAAUUGUUUGUUUGGGUUGCAAUAGUACUAGGAAAUUUUGGGCCUUUGAUCAUCCAUGACCUCUGUAAUUGAGAGGUUUUGAAUGAUGAAAGGUUUUAAAUUUUCAUUCUCCAAGCAAACUCAACUUAUUAUUCACUACCUAAUUAGUAAAAUAACAUAUUUAAAUG
Prosopis cineraria is the source of this 2461-nucleotide RNA transcript. RefSeq lists it as uncharacterized. The record is from RefSeq and is a predicted model, not a curated record. NCBI's taxonomy places the organism in Eukaryota, Viridiplantae, Streptophyta, Magnoliopsida, Fabales, Fabaceae. The transcript is spliced from 3 exons.